UUUCUUUGGAUGUAACUUCCCAUUGCAUGUGAUAAUCAUUUCGUCUAAAUUUACAUUGGAUUUAAAUGUACUGUCUCUGACAUAAUAAGCUUUAACUAAUAGAUUAUUGUAUAUGUGUGCAUUUAGAAAAACACACUUUUAUGUGAUAUUCAUCUACUUAAUCAUAAGCAACUUUAAAUUUCUCUUAUGUUUACUAGCCUUAUUUUGGUUACUCAUUUGAUUUUAAUAAGAUCAAUUUUAAUGCAAUCAAAUUUUUAGAUAUGUACAGAAACUUGACUAGUAGGGGUGUAAAUGAACCAAACUGUUUGCGAGCUGCUCAAGACUCGGCUCAAUAAAAGCUCAGUUCGAUUUGGUUUGUUUAGAAAAUGAGCCGAGAUCAAGGUCGAUUUUUGGGCUCGUUUAAUAAACGAGCUAAG
RNAcentral lists this unclassified non-coding RNA (416 nucleotides) under Hevea brasiliensis (rubber tree). Lineage: Eukaryota; Viridiplantae; Streptophyta; Magnoliopsida; Malpighiales; Euphorbiaceae. The record is from RNAcentral.